This 484-nucleotide ribosomal RNA is filed under the name uncultured bacterium. RNAcentral describes it as "partial 16S ribosomal RNA". It matches the Rfam family "Bacterial small subunit ribosomal RNA", at positions 30 to 507 of the family's 1533-position model. The record is from RNAcentral.
AUUGAACGCUGGCGGCAGGCCUAACACAUGCAAGUCGAGCGGAUGAAGGGAGCUUGCUCCUGGAUUCAGCGGCGGACGGGUGAGUAAUGCCUAGGAAUCUGCCUGGUAGUGGGGGAUAACGUCCGGAAACGGGCGCUAAUACCGCAUACGUCCUGAGGGAGAAAGUGGGGGGUCUUCGGACCUCACGCUAUCAGAUGAGCCUAGGUCGGAUUAGCUAGUUGGUGGGGUAAGGGCCUACCAAGGCGACGAUCCGUAACUGGUCUGAGAGGAUGAUCAGUCACACUGGAGCUGAGACACGGUCCAGACUCCUACGGGAGGCAGCAGUGUGGAAUAUUGGACAAUGGUCGAAAGCCUGAUCCAGCCAUGCCGCGUGUGUUGAGAAGGUCUUCGGAUUGUAAAGCACUUUAAGUUGGGAGGAAGGGCAGUAAGUUAAUACCUUGCUUUUUUGACGUUACCAACAGAAUAAGCACCGGCUAACUUCGUG